AGGUCAAAGGUUACCAAGGGAAACGUACAAAACACAUUACAGAGGGCACGGCUAAAUAAACACUAGAAUCGAUUUCUGAAACUUAAUUAAUGCCCUGGGGGGGAUUCUGUCUCAGACGCAGGGUGGUAAACAGAGCGGAACAAACAACAGCCUCAUCUAUCCCCAGAAGCUGCGGUUGCCUCACAACCUGACCACACCUGAGAAGAGAGAGACCUGAUCCCCUGUCCAAUCACGACUGCCUAGACAACCUAGAAGUUCAAUGAGCAACGUCAGGCAGAUGCUUUUACCCAAAGUGGCAUACAAUAGAGAAGAUUGGGUCAAACAGCUCAGGGGCCCAAUGGCGAAAUUACUCUGCUGAUCCUGGGAUUCGAACAGGCAACCUUGCGAUCACGCGUAUAACAUCCUAACCCAUUAGGCUACAUGCCACUCCCAUUUGCACAUUGACAUUACCUGAUAAAGUGGAGAUGUUAGUUUAAAAUAAUGUGCUGAGCAUUUAGCCCAAAGACAAAGACGUUUACCAUACUGCCAUUUAUAUUUCAUGGACCAGGAAGUCGUUACCCAUUCUAAUCAGUGCACACAGUCGUCGCUUGUUGACAUUAGCUGUCCAGUUAAGUUCACUCUCCUGCUUUGCUGUUCACUCUGCUAUGGAGCACCAGAGCAGACGUACAUGGUAAAAUGAGUCCGAAAAUGAGCAACAGCAAUACAAAUUCUGCAGAAUAAAACACCAAACUGUGACAUUCUACA
Paramormyrops kingsleyae is the source of this 744-nucleotide non-coding RNA. The record is from RefSeq and is a predicted model, not a curated record. NCBI's taxonomy places the organism in Eukaryota, Metazoa, Chordata, Actinopteri, Osteoglossiformes, Mormyridae.